CCAGACUCCUACGGGAGGCAGCAGUGGGGAAUAUUGCACAAUGGGGGAAACCCUGAUGCAGCGACGCCGCGUGAGUGAAGAAGUAUUUCGGUAUGUAAAGCUCUAUCAGCAGGGAAGAAAAUGACGGUACCUGAUUAAGAAGCCCCGGCUGACUACGUGCCAGCAGCCGCGGUAAUACGUAGGGGGCAAGCGUUAUCCGGAUUUACUGGGUGUAAAGGGAGCGCAGGCGGCGCGGCAAGUCUGAUGUGAAAGCCCGGGGCUCAACCCCGGGCCUGCAUUGGAAACUGUCGAGCUAGAGUGUCGGAGGGGUAAGCGGAAUUCCUAGUGUAGCGGUGAAAUGCGUAGAUAUUAGGAGGAACACCAGUGGCGAAGGCGGCUUACUGGACGAUGACUGACGCUGAGGCUCGAAAGCGUGGGGAGCAAACAGGAUUAGAUACCCUAGUAU
RNAcentral lists this ribosomal RNA (445 nucleotides) under uncultured bacterium. Its description in RNAcentral is "bacterial SSU rRNA". It matches the Rfam family "Bacterial small subunit ribosomal RNA", at positions 331 to 793 of the family's 1533-position model. The record is from RNAcentral.